UGUAUAGAAAUGAACUCUUAUCAGAAUUUCAAAGGAAUUAAUAUUUCUGGUAAAAUGGGCUAAUAUAAAGAGUUGGAAGAUUAGUGAUGCAUAAUGAAUAAAAUGCAUUCUUUCACAUGGAAAUAAGAGUAUAAUAAAUGUCCUGCAGGUGAUUGGGGCUGUUGCAAUUUUAUUGAAGAUUAAAGUUUGAUUGACCUUUAUUGGGGCAAUUAACCUUUCUGAAAUUAAAAGCCAGAUCUGAAUUAGUCUGUCCCAUUUAAAUGCAAA
Molecule: unclassified non-coding RNA, 267 nt
Organism: Dipodomys ordii (Ord's kangaroo rat)
Lineage: Eukaryota; Metazoa; Chordata; Mammalia; Rodentia; Heteromyidae
Source: Ensembl